Long non-coding RNA from Sitophilus oryzae (rice weevil), 419 nucleotides. RefSeq lists it as uncharacterized. The transcript is spliced from 3 exons. Lineage: Eukaryota; Metazoa; Arthropoda; Insecta; Coleoptera; Curculionidae. The record is from RefSeq and is a predicted model, not a curated record.
CCUAUUUUUAAUGAACCGUCAUUUCCAUUUAAGUUUCUCAGCCAUGGCUUUACAUGAGAUCUCACGACAUAUUGUAGUGGAAAAACUGCCUUGUGUGAUUUGGAUUUAUUUUACAAUUUAUGUUUUUGAUGGGAUUUAAGUAUGCCUCAAUACAUAAUGCUUUGGUGAAUAUGUCUUGGUACGCAUGGAAUAAGGAAAAUAUGAAAACAUAUCUUUUAAUAUGCACUCAAAGCUAUAAGCCAGUGCAGAGCAUAUAUGGGUUUAACAAUGUGUUAAAUCGUGAAGCUUUUCUGAUUUAUGUCAAGGCUUACUACGCAUUUUUUAUGUUUAUAUAUCAAACAAAUGUACUGGAGAAAUUUAAAAAAUAUGUCCAUUAGAAUCUUAAUAUUAUCCUACAUAUUUGGCUUGUUAUAUUCGGC